RNAcentral lists this ribosomal RNA (440 nucleotides) under uncultured bacterium. Its description in RNAcentral is "partial 16S ribosomal RNA". It matches the Rfam family "Bacterial small subunit ribosomal RNA", at positions 338 to 795 of the family's 1533-position model. The record is from RNAcentral.
CCUACGGGUGGCAGCAGUAGGGAAUAUUGCUCAAUGGAGGAAACCCUGAAGCAGCAACGCCGCGUGGAGGAUGAAGGUUUUCGGAUUGUAAACUACUUUUGUUAGAGAAGAUAAUGACGGUAUCUAACGAAUAAGCACCGGCUAACGCCGUGCCAGCAGCCGCGGUAAUACGGAGGGGGCAAGCGUUAAUCGGAAUCACUGGGCGUAAAGAGCGCGUAGACGGGAUAGCAAGUCAGCUGUGAAAUCCCAUGGCUUAACCGUAGAACUGCAAUUGAAACUGUUAUUCUUGAGUAUGGGAGAGGUAGGUGGAAUUCUUGGUGUAGGGGUAAAAUCCGUAGAUAUUAAGAGGAAUACUCAUUGCGAAGGCGACCUGCUAGAACAUAACUGACGCUGAUGCGCGAAAGCGUGGGGAGCAAACAGGAUUAGAUACCCCUGUAGUC